UUGCCGUAUGGGGAAAAGCAGAUGAGGUGGAGGCAAAUUACACAAACAAAACAAAAAACAGUAUCACCAGGAAUGGGAUGUUGCUGUGGAGAAGUACAAACGAACCUGGAUGAAGACUUCUAUGGAAGGCCAGAGAAAUGACAGAAGCGUAUGCUUGUAUGCUGAGGUGUGAUAAGAACAACAAGUAUUGUCAUCAAGGGGGGUUUUGAGCAAACAGGACAUUGCCUGGUAAAGAAAGCAUAUCUCUAUACUGUCUCCAUAAAGUGGAAGAAUGGCUGAUCUGCAGCUCCAUUCCAAGCUCCCUUCACAUGUCUACAAGAAAUCCCUCUAUUGAAGUGGAUCUGUUUAAGCUGGGUGGCUAAUGGUGGCUGUUGUGCUACCUGAAAGACUUAUCAGAGUACAGGAAACAAAGAAUCCCACUGAUCUGUUGGAAAUCUCUAUAGACUAUAAAGGCUAAAGGCUAUAUCUGUGGCUACCUGUCCUGUAUAUUCUACCUUGGAUCUCGGUUUCCACAGCUAUAUAAGAAUUUUAAAAGUCAACAGAAGGCACCUCUUACUUGUUAUUUGCCGUGGCAAUGACUGGGAACAGCACAUAUGGGCUGAGUCUACUUGUGAAACUACCUGGUCUAAAGGGGCCGAAGAACGUCUUCAUUCGCAAUCACUUGGCCUGGUUGAUUGGCAGCUUCGGGGUACUUUUCCUGGACUACUUUGUAUCUUUUUUUUUUUUUUUUUUUUUAGGGAAAAACACAUCCUAAUUUAUCAUUUGGAGCAGAAGUGACCCCACAGAUACUUUAAUUAGUUUAAGAUGUAACAAUUUGCAAGUCAAAUGAUGUAAGCCCACUGGACCAUGGUACGUUCUUCUCAGUUCUGAAGUAAUGAGGCAUCACAAUGUGUCUGAUUUUAUUCGUUCCAGCAAUGAAUACGACGACUUCUACAAUAAAAGGGAGGGUGUGCACAUCUUCAUGUGGCUUCAGAUUAAGCGUUUAAACUUUGGCUGGAGGGUGUGAGAGUUGUUAUUCUAUUAACUACCAGGAGCAGUGGGCUCAUUUGUUGCCAAGAGAUUGAUACAAGAAACCAGGUAGAAAAUCUAGCAAAAACAAUCAUUAAAUAAACAAAAACAAACCUAAAGUAAUUACAAAAUCUGUUAAUGCAUGCUUUUAAUAAAUUGUGUGACAUGAAACAACUGUCUAAUACUGCACUGGUUGUGAAGGGGUGAGGAACUGUUUCCUUAUGAACUUGUAGUUGGGUUAUUACAGCAUGAGGCAGUCUCAACUCCCAAAAACAAAGGAAACAAGGGAGCAUUUGUUUCAUCUUUGGAUCAUAGUAAAUGCCUGUUUAUUAUGUGACCAUACACUCUAUUCCUUUACAAGACAACGCUACAGAUCACUGCACAGUUCAUCCUGUAUCGGAAGCACAAAUACACAGGACCAAGCUUUGUGACCUUGAGUAAAAUCCCAGAGGUGGAACCACUCCUCUGUGACGAAAAGGACACCUGAAAAAUGUUGCACAAAGUGUGUGAACUUCAGUUGUGCAUUUCAAAGUGUUUAACUGAAAAAAAAAAAAAGCACUCAAUAUUAUGACAUAUACUGUAUUUAGUAAUAAGCUGUAAAUAUAGGUGGGUUGAUAUGGAAUGAAGGUUUCCGCUAAUAGCCUGGUUUCUGAAGGACCAGUUGAAUGUUUACAGUAAGCCAAUUAUUUUAUUUUUUUUACUUGAAAUAUCAUACAGCUAGCUUAAUUUUAUUGCAUGUACAUGUGUUGUGUGUAGCAAACGGUUAUAGUAAUUGGGGUUCUAGUUUCCAUUUCUCUUAGCAUGGUUUUCCAUCUCCAAUUUAGUAAAGCUUAGCUAGUAGUUUGAAUACAAUUAAGCUAAUGAGACCUGGAUGCAUCUCUUGAGAGAAAUAAGCAGGGUGCCGAGUAGACUUAGUUUAUUGCCAUAAUAAUUAAUUGGUUGAGUGAAAACUAAACUACCCUUAUUUUGUAUGAUAUGCAGUUAAUGUUGUGGCUAUGUGGAAGUUAGUUACACAUUUAAGUACUGGUUCAAAGUAAAAAGUCAAAUAAGAAAGUCCAGUGCUUGACAUAACAUUUUAAUAAAAGAAAUUCAGGCAUAAAAAAGUACUUUUAAUGUGAUGAAUCUGUGUUUAAAUUUAUAAGAUUAGUAUUAUGUUAAAGUGUUUGCUUAUUUAUGGUGCCUUGCUCUAUUUUAUUUUUUAUACAGUUUUAUACACAUUUUUAUGCAAAAUGUUCUACCCCGCUUGUGGUUCUUAUAGUGAAGUAAGCCUCAUUUGAGCAGAAAAUGGGCUUUAAUUCCAUUGAACCGAUUUGUACAUUCCUUAAAACAACUUUUUCAAUCAUUGAUUCAAAUAAAGUUGAUUAUUCAUAAUAAAAUGUCAUUGUUUAUGUUUGCAGUGACAUUGCCAUUGACUUUAUUUUUAUUUUACCACAAUGCUACAAUAUGUGUUGUUGUUAUUGUCAUUAAUUAUUUUAGCAGGUGCUCUUACCCAAGGUGACUUACAGUUGUGUACAAAAAAUACAUAAAGAAUUACAGUACAGUUAAGAGCAAGA
Molecule: long non-coding RNA, 2561 nt
Organism: Polyodon spathula (Mississippi paddlefish)
Lineage: Eukaryota; Metazoa; Chordata; Actinopteri; Acipenseriformes; Polyodontidae
Exons: 5
Source: RefSeq, a predicted model, not a curated record